RNAcentral lists this long non-coding RNA (822 nucleotides) under Androctonus crassicauda. The record is from RNAcentral. Lineage: Eukaryota; Metazoa; Arthropoda; Arachnida; Scorpiones; Buthidae.
AUUCUAAGAGUUUGAUAGUCUUAGAUCUGAUGUAUACUGUUCAAAGUUACAAUAUAAAUUGUAUAUGUAUUGUAACUAUUGUUAAAUGAUAUAAAGUGUGAAUUGUGUUAUAAUAAUUAUAUUGCAUCUCUUGCCUUUUAAGUAGGAUAUUUAUAUAGCAUAUAUUAAAACUAAGAACAUCUAUAGAUUAGCCUGGUAUGAGAUUAAAUCAUUCCUGGAAAAUGUUCAUAAAUGAAAUUCUUAUAUUGAAAUACUAUCCAAAUAUAUAAAACAAUGUAAAAAUGCAAUUUUUUGGGGGGAGAAGGUCCCUAAUAGAGGCCACCUGGUGGCCUGAAACUGUUGAUAUUAUCCAUGUUCAAUUUAGAAUUCCAUACCUACAAAUGCAUUUAAAGAAACCUGAUCCAGUCCAUCAAUCCCCAUCUAAGAAUAUCUCUUUUUUUCUUAAUGCCACUAUCCAAUUGUUUGCCAAUUACCAAGUAGUCCUAUUUCAAUUCCCAUUUUUAGCCCCACAUCUAUGGAGGGAUUAAUGAGACUAUAGAGAUGAGGAUCAAAAAAAUUGAACCUGGAUUUAUAAUCCUCAAAUUUCUUGAAUAUAUUGGGAUUUUUAUCUGUCUUCUAAUGGAAAACCAUAACAUUUCCAUGUAUCCAAUGCAGCCAGUUUUUAAUACCUGUUAGUAGGCUCAAUCAUGCAUGCUAUGAGUGGUUAGAGAUUUAUCUCAGGAAUGGCAUUACUGUUUACUAAUCUGUUUCCAGUUUUAUGCCAUUUUCCACUCAAAAGUAACUGUAUCCAAAAGUCAAUACUUAUUAUUUGAUCAUAUAUAG